AUGCCGCCGAAGCGCGCGUGCCGGCUGGCCCUGAUGCUCGCGGCGGCGGGGUACCUCUGCUUCCUCCUCUUCCUCGAGCUCCCCUCCGUCUCCGUCGCGCCGCUCGCCACCGCCGACCGCCCGCGCCGCCGCGAGCUCGAGGCCAGCUNNNNNNNNNNNNNNNNNNNNNNNNNNNNNNNNNNNNNNNNNNNNNNNNNNNNNNNNNNNNNNNACCAGCCCCGCCGCUCCCGCCUCGCGCUCUCCUCCAUCCGCUUCCGCCCCAACUCCUCCUCCUCCUCCGCCUCCUCCAUCGACGCCGCCGCCUCCUCCGCCUUCGCCGCCGCGGCUCCCCUCCUGCCACACCUCCUCUCCCCUUCCGCCGCCUCCUCCUCCUCAUCCCCUUCCCCCUCCCCGUCCGCCCCCGCGUCCUGCCCCGCCGCCGUCACCGUCCCACGCGACCGGCUCGCGAGCACCCCGGUGGCCGUGGAGCUGCCGUGCGGGAUGGCCGUCGGCUCGCGGGUCACCGUGGUGGCCCGGCCGAGGAGGAGGGACGGGGCCGCGUCGUCGCAGUUCAUGGUGGAGCUGCUGGGCACCAAGGCCGUGCAGGGGGAGGAGCCGCCCAGGAUACUCCACUUCAACCCCAGGAUGAGAGGCGACUUCACCGGCCGCCCCGUCAUCGAGCUCAACACCUGCUACCGCAUGCAGUGGGCUCUGCCACAGCGCUGCGAGGGCCCGGCGUCGCGGCCCGACGACGACAGAGUUGAUGGGGAAGUCAAGUGUGAGAAAUGGACUCGGGAUGAUGGCCCCAAGACAGAGGACUCGUCAAACAUAAAGUGGCUGCUCAACAGUUUGAUCGGCAAGCCGGAGCCAGACAAGGUCUCUGUCGAUCAGGCAUACCCCUUUGCAGAGGGCAAGCUGUUUGUCCUAACCAUCACAGCCGGUCUCGUGGGCUACCAUGUCAAUGUCGACGGGCGACAUGUUGCAUCCUUCCCUUACCGCACUGGUUACAAUCUCGAGGACGCGACGGGCCUGUCGUUGAACGGGGACCUUGACAUCGAGUCGACUUCUGCCGCCCAUCUGCCCAAAUCACACCCUAGCUUCGACCCACAGCGAUACCUCGAAAUGUCUGAACAGUGGAAGGCCUCACCUCUGCCGACUGAACCUGUCGAGCUGUUCAUCGGCAUCCUUUCUGCAGCCAACCAUUUCGCCGAGCGGAUGGCCGUUCGCAAGUCAUGGAUGAUUGCUACAAGGAGAUCAUCUAACAGUGUUGCCCGGUUCUUCGUCGCUCUGAAUGGGAAAAAAGAGGUCAACGAGGAGCUGAAGAAGGAGGCCGAGUUCUUUGGUGACAUUGUUCUGGUGCCUUUCAUGGAUAGCUAUGACCUUGUUGUUUUAAAGACUAUCGCCAUUGCUGAGUAUGGGGUGCGAGUUGUGCAAGCGAAAUACGUAAUGAAGUGUGACGACGACACAUUUGUUAGAAUUGACGCGGUGUUGGAUCAAGUGAAGAAAGUUAAGAAUGGGGGGAGCAUGUAUGUGGGGAACAUAAACUACUACCACAGGCCUCUGCGAUCUGGAAAGUGGGCUGUAACGUACGAGGAAUGGGAAGAGGAAGUAUACCCACCUUACGCAAACGGACCGGGCUAUGUGAUUUCAUCAGACAUCGCUGAGUACAUCGUAUCCGAGUUUGACAACCAGGCGCUGAGACUGUUCAAGAUGGAAGAUGUGAGCAUGGGCAUGUGGGUUCAGAAGUUCAGCAAGACUCGCCAACCAGUGGAGUAUUUGCACGACGUCAAGUUCUUCCAGGCCGGCUGCUUCGACGGCUACUACACCGCGCACUACCAGUCGCCGCAGCACAUGAUCUGCCUCUGGAGGAAGCUGCAGUCUGGGAGCGCUCAAUGCUGCAACGCCAGAUGA
Molecule: ribosomal RNA, 1890 nt
Filed under: Triticum aestivum (bread wheat)
Lineage: Eukaryota; Viridiplantae; Streptophyta; Magnoliopsida; Poales; Poaceae
Description: partial small subunit ribosomal RNA
Source: RNAcentral